AUGAAAAAAAACAAGCCCACUGGCAAUGAUCAUUGGAGCUUUGUUUUUAAUGCUAUCAUUGAACAAGCUGGUUUAAGGGAGUUACCCCUGGGAGGGAGGAAAUAUACUUGGGCUAAUAACCAAAGUGAUCCUACCUAUGAAAAAUUAGACAGAGUACUGAUUUGUCCUAAUUGGGAAGAACAUUACCCCUUAACUACUGUG
Molecule: ribosomal RNA, 201 nt
Filed under: Triticum aestivum (bread wheat)
Lineage: Eukaryota; Viridiplantae; Streptophyta; Magnoliopsida; Poales; Poaceae
Description: partial small subunit ribosomal RNA
Source: RNAcentral